GACCUGCGGAGGAUCAUUAUCGAGUUUUUGACUGGGUUGUAGCUGGCCUUCCGAGGCAUGUGCACGCCCUGCUCAUCCACUCUACACCUGUGCACUUACUGUGGGUUUCAAUGCGUGGAAUAAGGCCUUUACGGGCUCGUGAAGCGGGUUGUGCCUGCGUUUAUUACAAACACUAUAAAGUAUAAGAACGUGUAUUGCGAUGUAACGCAUCUAUAUACAACUUUCAGCAACGGAUCUCUUGGCUCUCGCAUCGAUGAAGAACGCAGCGAAAUGCGAUAAGUAAUGUGAAUUGCAGAAUUCAGUGAAUCAUCGAAUCUUUGAACGCACCUUGCGCUCCUUGGUAUUCCGAGGAGCAUGCCUGUUUGAGUGUCAUGAAAUCUUCAAUCUACAAACCUUUGCGGGUUUUGCAGAUUUGGACUUGGAGGCUUGUCGGCCUGGUCGGCUCCUCUUAAAUGCAUUAGCUUGGUUCCUUGCGGAUCGGCUUACGGUGUGAUAAUUGUCUACGCCGCGACCGUGAAGCGUUUGGCGAGCUUCUAAUCGUCUCGUUGGAGACAUCUUAUUGACCUCUGACCUCAAAUCAGGUAGGACUACCCGCUGAACUUAAGCAUAUCAAUAAGCGGAGGAAAAGAAACUAACAAGGAUUCCCCUAGUAACUGCGAGUGAAGCGGGAAAAGCUCAAAUUUAAAAUCUGGCGGUCUUUGGCCGUCCGAGUUGUA
RNAcentral lists this ribosomal RNA (716 nucleotides) under Amauroderma subresinosum. RNAcentral describes it as "eukaryotic LSU rRNA". The stretch from base 219 to 372 matches the Rfam family "5.8S ribosomal RNA". The record is from RNAcentral. Lineage: Eukaryota; Fungi; Basidiomycota; Agaricomycetes; Polyporales; Polyporaceae.